UGAAACCCCAUAUCUACUAAAAAUAUAAACAUUAGCUGGGUGUGGUGGAGUGUGCCUGUAAUCCUAGCUACUCAGGAGGCUGAGGCAGGAGAAUCACUUGA
Molecule: long non-coding RNA, 101 nt
Organism: Cebus imitator (Panamanian white-faced capuchin)
Lineage: Eukaryota; Metazoa; Chordata; Mammalia; Primates; Cebidae
Exons: 3
Source: RefSeq, a predicted model, not a curated record